This 1816-nucleotide long non-coding RNA is filed under the name Homo sapiens (human). Its description in RNAcentral is "HSALNT0020245". Lineage: Eukaryota; Metazoa; Chordata; Mammalia; Primates; Hominidae. The record is from RNAcentral.
CUGAGAAUAGAAAUAACCCCAUCUCCUUAAGGACUCUGAAGAGGGUCCUAAAGUGAAAGAUCCUAAAAUGAAGAAGAACACUCUGGCAUACUUCUAACUGGAAGGAAAUCAUUCUUAAAAUCAUAGCACCUACUAGUACCUUCAAGAAUGGCUACAGCUGGCUGAGUAUGGUGGCUCACGCCUGUAAUCCUAGCACUUUGGGAGGCCAAGGCUGAUGGAUCAUGAGGUCAGGAGGUCGAGACCAGCCUGAUCAACAUGGUGAAACCCCGUCUCUACUAAAAAUACAAAAAUUAGCUGGGUGGUGGCACGCACCUGUCAUCCCAGCUACUCAGGAGGCUGAGGCAGGAGAAUCUCUUGAACCUGGGAGGUGGAGGUUGCAGUGAGCUGAGACCUCACCAGUGCACUCCAGCCUGGACGACAGAGUGAGACUCCAUCUCAAAAAAAAAAAAAAGAAAGAAAAAAAGAAUGGCUACAGAUAACACCAUCCGAGCAGCCUGUGGCCUCUCCCCUACAAAGAUGAUUUUCAAUCCUUUGUUUAAAAACAUGCACAGGGCCAGGCGUGGUGACUCAUGACUGUAAUCCCAGCACUUUGGGAUGCCGAGGCCAGCGGAUCACAAGGUCAGGAGUUUGAGACCAGCCUGGCCAAAAUGGUGAAAUCCCGUCUCUAAUAAAAAUACAAAAAUUAGCCGGGCGUGGUGGCGCAUGCCUAAUCAUCCCAGCUACUCAGGAGGCUGAGGCAGGAGAAUUGCUUGAACCUGGGAGGAGGAGGUUGCAGGGAGCUGAGAUCGUACCACUGCACUCCAGCUUGGGUAACAGAGCAAGACUCCGUCUCGAAAAUAAAAAAAAAAGAAAAAUUAAAAAUUAAAAAAAACAUGCACAGGCCAGGCAUGGAGGCUCACGCCUAUAAUCCCAGCAUUUUGGGAGGCCAUGACAGGUGGAUUACUUGAGCCCAGGAGUUUGAGACCAGCCCAGGCAACAUAGUGAGACGACAUCUCUACAAAUAAUACAAAUAAUAAAAAUAAAAAACAUGCACAGCCCAGGCUGUGGCAAAGAAAAUAUGCACAAUACAAAAGCCCUUCCUGGGUCAUAUGUAGCCUACAGUAGGGACUCUAAAAGUACCUGCUGAAUUAAUGAUUGAUAACUGAAUGAACUCAUGUCUGACCUCUGUCAUUCUUGCAGAAAUGUACGGUAUCCUUGCUAGGCAUCUGACCUCGGUGGGCCACGGGGCAACUUUGACCCAUUGGCUCCACUGGUCUGCUUGUGGAUUAAUACCAAACUGGGCUAUGUGCUCAUUUACACACAAAGUGGAUGGGGAAAGUUUUCUAAUAGCAGCUUUACUUACCUCCACUCAGCCCAUCUGUGGAGUACACCCACAGGUUCUCCCUUCCCAGAAGAGAAAUAAAUGGAGAAGCUAAGAAGGGCAGGGCCAAGCUCUCUGGCUUUUUCUCCACACCACUUCUUUGCAGAGCUGGCAAGAAAAACGUUUGAGCUCAGUCUAAGAGGCUACCAGGGCCCUGGAUAAGGAUCUUAUACAAACGAGUAUGCCCUGGAUACGCAGCCAAUCCUUUCCCCUGAUGUGAGCCUGGUUCUCUGGGCCCCAGCAGCUUCAAGCCAUUUUGUUCCCAUUGGCUCUGCCAUUCUCCACCCUCAUUCCUAUAAACAAGAAUGAACCUUGAUUCAACUCUUGUCCAGUAAACUGCACAGGCUGCCUAGAGCAUAUCAGAUAAGAAGAGGUAAUAGCUGGGUGAGUUUGGAGCAAGAACUGCUUUACUUAACAUCACUAUCAGGGAAGGGCCAUUUAAAAUUCGAUGGGCAG